GCGGCCUGGGUCUCGGAGGGCGGCGGCCCGUGCUCCGCUUUCUCCCGAGGGGCUGCGCUUCGGCCUUUGUGGGGCGGGGGCGUCCCGGCGGCUGGGGCAGGAUGGGGGGGCCGCUGACGUCCGCGAGGGCGGGGCGCGCUUGUUUUCGCGGCCGCGGGCGUUUGGCCGGAGGUUCGGGGCGGGCGGGCGAGCGAGCGAGCGAGCGAGCGGCCGCGGCGUUAGGCCUGGAGGGGCCGCUUGUGGGCUCCCGGUGCGAGCAUCUCCCGACGGACCCGAGCUCCGGGCCGCCGCACGCGCCGGCCCUGGCCGGCUUUUUGUUUUCGUCCUUCCUCGCCCGCGCGCCCGCCGUGCUCAGGGAAGCGCCCGGCUCGCCUCGGCUCGGCUCGGCUCGGCUGCGGAGCUGCGCCUCCCCGGGAUCCGAGGCGCGGCGGGGCCCACGGAGACCGGGGCCGGGUAUUGUGUCCAGGAGGCCAGAAGAGGGCAUCAGAGCCCCCAAAGCCGGAAUAAAAAGGUGGUGACCUCCAGGCCAACCAGGACUGAAUAGAUGCGUUUACAGACACACACACACAGCCCCCAUCGCAUCGCCUCUCAGAGAACCGUGACUGCUGAAUGGCUCCAUCCGCAGCUGUUUGAGGCGCUCCCCCGACGGACAGUGAGCCCUUGGGACACCCGGAGCGCUGGGAGCCUGGGCCUUCCUUCCCCAGCAGGGCCUGCUCCUACCCCGUGGAUAGCCUGAAGGAACCUGACUGGGAAAGUAAAACUACUACUUCUAUGCUGACUAAACUUGACUGCUGAUGCGCUUUGAACUCAGGCGUGAUCACAGUGGCGCGGGUUUCUCUUAAACGAG
RNAcentral lists this long non-coding RNA (847 nucleotides) under Cricetulus griseus (Chinese hamster). RNAcentral's name for it is "lncRNA (ENSCGRG00015031526.1)". The record is from RNAcentral. Lineage: Eukaryota; Metazoa; Chordata; Mammalia; Rodentia; Cricetidae.